RNAcentral lists this long non-coding RNA (664 nucleotides) under Medicago truncatula (barrel medic). Its description in RNAcentral is "lncRNA gene4072". The record is from RNAcentral. Lineage: Eukaryota; Viridiplantae; Streptophyta; Magnoliopsida; Fabales; Fabaceae.
UUCUCAUCAAUUAAGUUAAACUUAGGAAGAUUUAUUAUUAUUAUUAUUAUUAUUAUUAUUAUUGUUAUUAUUAUUUAGUGCGACAAGGAGGGAAGAUUUUUCUUCAUGUAUGCUUAAGUAUAAUAGAGAAAUCAAAAUUCAAAACACACGUUUUUCUUGUAAAAGGAGUAGGUUUCACUUCAACAUGUUUAUGAGCCUAGCUAGCUAGCCUUCAAAACAAGUGAAUUAAUAUAUUUGCAGAUAUGAAGCAUGAAAAGAUGUUGCGGUUUGCCCUUUUCCAGAUUUCAAAUUUCAAAUCGUGACAUAAAAAAGGUAUAAACGAAGCAAUUUUAGGUUGUAUGAAUGAUUUAAGGGAGAAGAAGAAAGCAGAAAAUGGAAACAGGGGAGAAGAAGAUGGAGAUAUGGAACAGCUUGAAGAGGAAAUGUAGAGAGGUAGAUCUGUGAUUUUUAUUUUUGGUUAUAAAACCUGUAUUUUUUUAGAAAUGUUAACAAGUGCUCACUUGAUAAGAAGUUUAAAAUGGAAAUUUUGUUUUGGAAUUUGUGUAUUCAACACAUUGAAACAUUAAAAAGUAGGGAGCUUCUACGGUGCAGUUAUGAAACUGACUUUUUUGAAAAAGUUAAUUUUAAUCUUAAUGUUUGAUUUAUUUUUAAAAUUGUUGAUUAC